Molecule: long non-coding RNA, 318 nt
Organism: Saccostrea cuccullata (small rock oyster)
Lineage: Eukaryota; Metazoa; Mollusca; Bivalvia; Ostreida; Ostreidae
Exons: 2
Source: RefSeq, a predicted model, not a curated record
AACUACUUUGAUCUCUCUUAAUUUGUGAUCAAUUUCAGAUAGAGGCACAGCUCUGAUUUCACAUUGAAUUUUUUAUUUCCGAGCAAAAUCAUUUUGAAAUUCUAAACUGUAGUAAAAAAAAACCUGUCUACAAUGGAGCAUACAAGCAACAGUUUAAUAGAUACAAUUAUUUACGGUAGGAUCAAAAGUUCUAAUAAAUGUUCAGAUUUAAAUACUAUUUAAUUAAAAGAUGAAUAGGACAUUAUUUUAUUAUUUUAAUAUUUUUGCUGGUGUAUAGUUGUAUAUUUUGGGUCAAUAAUAAAAAAAAGAGAUAUGUCA